Long non-coding RNA from Fukomys damarensis (Damara mole-rat), 658 nucleotides. RefSeq lists it as uncharacterized. The transcript is spliced from 4 exons. The record is from RefSeq and is a predicted model, not a curated record. NCBI's taxonomy places the organism in Eukaryota, Metazoa, Chordata, Mammalia, Rodentia, Bathyergidae.
GCCUGGCCGAGAGGCGCCGCUCUAGGCUGCAGCCUGCGCAAGGCCGCAGCUCCGCAGGGAUCGCUGAGCGAGUGCCGGUCCGCCCUCCUUGUCCUGUGCUGCAGCCUGUACCCGUGUUGUGCACUGUGUACCCUGCUGCCUCCCUUCCGGACCUCCGGCUAAGUCAUCCGGGGCGUCCUCAGCGCGCGGCUCCCAAGGAUGGCGCCGCGUCUCCCUCAAGCAGAGGAGACAAGCAUCUGCGCCCUGGGACCUCGACCUACAGCGGCUCUCGCGUCCCGGUUGUUGGCCGCUCCGGUCUGACCGUCCCAGAGCGGUGUCAGGCGCCUUUUUGCCACCCGGGAAGGACACCCCACUUGGUCGGGGACCUCACGCCCCGUGGUCUCUCACACCUUCGUCCCGCCCUCGGACUUGUGGCGGUCGAAGCAAAGGAUUGACUUGUCGCUUGUCUACACGGGGCCUUCAGUUUGCGCGGCCUCCUGGAGGAGGAUGGAAACUAUACGGUGGCUGGCGGAGCUGGUUCUGCAACAGCCAGCGUCCCCGCCCACGGUGCUCCAGGGACAGGAUGUCCCGGUGUCUUGGGAGUUGUCAUGUCAGGACCACCUUAUACCCAAGUGUCAUUGAGGGCUAUGGUGAGGCAGAAAUGUCAUGGCAGAAGGCC